RNAcentral lists this ribosomal RNA (790 nucleotides) under uncultured bacterium. RNAcentral describes it as "bacterial SSU rRNA". It matches the Rfam family "Bacterial small subunit ribosomal RNA", at positions 8 to 796 of the family's 1533-position model. The record is from RNAcentral.
AGAGUUUGAUCAUGGCUCAGAACGAACGCUGGCGGCGUGCUUAACACAUGCAAGUCGCGUGCGCAGUUUCCGUAGCAAUACGGAGAGGGCGCACGGCGCACGGGUGCGUAACACGUGGGCAAUCUGCCCUUUGAUGGGGAAUAACCCGCCGAAAGGCGGGCUAAUUCCGCAUAAGAUUCUUUGGACUUCGGUCUGGAGAUUGAAAGCAGCAAUGCGUCGAAGGAGGACCCGCGCCCGAUUAGCUAGUUGGUGAGGUAACGGCUCACCAAGGCUAUGAUCGGUAGCUGGUCUGAGAGGAUGAUCAGCCACACUGGAACUGAGACACGGUCCAGACUCCUACGGGAGGCAGCAGUGGGGAAUCUUGCACAAUGGGCGAAAGCCUGAUGCAGCGACGCCGCGUGGGGGAUGAAGCAUUUCGGUGUGUAAACCCCUUUCGACUGGGAAGAAUACCUCGCAAGAGGGGUGACGGUACCAGUAGAAGAAGCCCCGGCUAACUACGUGCCAGCAGCCGCGGUAAGACGUAGGGGGCCAGCGUUGUUCGGAAUUACUGGGUGUAAAGGGUUCGUAGGCGGUGCGGCAAGUUGGGAGUGAAAUCUCUGGGCUUAACCCAGAGGCUGCUUCCAAAACUGCUGUGCUCGAGUGUGAGAGAGGCUCGUGGAAUUGCAGGUGUAGCGGUGAAAUGCGUAGAUAUCUGCAGGAACACCCGUGGCGAAAGCGGCGAGCUGGAUCACUACUGACGCUGAGGAACGAAAGCUAGGGGAGCAAACAGGAUUAGAUACCCUAGUAGUCC